RNAcentral lists this ribosomal RNA (301 nucleotides) under uncultured bacterium. RNAcentral describes it as "partial 16S ribosomal RNA". It matches the Rfam family "Bacterial small subunit ribosomal RNA", at positions 509 to 807 of the family's 1533-position model. The record is from RNAcentral.
CAGUAGCCGCGGUAAUACGUAGGUGGCAAGCGUUGUCCGGAAUUAUUGGGCGUAAAGGGCUCGCAGGCGGUUUCUUAAGUCUGAUGUGAAAGCCCCCGGCUCAACCGGGGAGGGUCAUUGGAAACUGGGAAACUUGAGUGCAGAAGAGGAGAGUGGAAUUCCACGUGUAGCGGUGAAAUGCGUAGAGAUGUGGAGGAUCACCAGUGGCGAAGGCGACUCUCUGGUCUGUAACUGACGCUGAGGAGCGAAAGCGUGGGGAGCGAACAGGAUUAGAUACCCCCGUAGUCCCUGUCUCUUAUAC